RNAcentral lists this long non-coding RNA (5246 nucleotides) under Homo sapiens (human). Its description in RNAcentral is "HSALNT0052560". The record is from RNAcentral. Lineage: Eukaryota; Metazoa; Chordata; Mammalia; Primates; Hominidae.
GUUUAUAGACCCCUGCAUUUAAACCAUCUGGGACUUCAGGUUUUAAACACGAGCUGGCUGAAUCUUCUUGCUUGGUACCCUGCAAUAAAUGUAUACAUGGGAGACACCCAGGGACAAAUGAGGAACUCUCAAAGAGAUAGUUUAGAAUUCAAGCAUAAAUACUAUCUUCAGCUAAAGACAAAACAGAGAAUGGUGUCAGGGAGGACGAGGUAACUAGGAAAAGUACAGUAAAGAAGAGUAAGUUUUGUAAUGCAGAUGUAAGUCAAUACCUUCCCCACUGCUAAGAGCCUCUAGUGAUUUACCCAUCUUUCUCUUUCUUAUACAGAGAGGGAGACACACUUAAAAAAUUGAGAUUUACUUUAUAAAUGCAAAUUUCCCAUAGAAAAGGGUUUACUUCUCCUUUAUUUUCAGAGCUUCUCCUGUGUCUGCUGUUUCUCAAAAUAAUUCUGCUAAAGAGGCAUAUUUUGGGGUGUCAUAUUCUGGUCUCCUAUAUCAUUCACGCUAAAUCAUGGGGCAGGAUGAUUUUCCGUUAAAGCUGAAUACCAGGGAAGGCUUUUUAAAAUUUCAAAUGCUUGUGCUUCUGAACAUCAAGAGGCAAUCUGUGAAGAGAUUCAAAGCAAGAAAGAAGACAGGAAACAUAAGAACAAAGCUUCUUGUUUCCCCAUCACCAAGUCUAGUUAAAAUUUUCCAGUUGAAGGGAGACCAAGGAACUAAGAUGAGAUAAGAUGUUCAUGGGGCUGAGGGACAAUGUGCUGCAGACUUGAAGGAACCAUGCAGAAUGAAGUGUCACUCUUUGGCUUUGCUGCACUGGAUUAGCAGACCCCGGUUUGGUUUUGUUGGGUACAGGCCCCCAAAUCUGGCCAUAAACUGGCCCCAAAACUGGCCAUAAACAAAAUCUCUGCAGCACUGUGAUAUGCUCGUGAUGGCCUUGACGCCCAUGCUGGAAGGUUGUCGGUUUACUGGAAUAAAGGUAAGGAACACGUGGCCCACCCAGGGAGGAAAACCGCUUAAGGCGUUCUUAAACCACAAACAAUAGCAUGAGUGAUCUGUGCCUUAAGGACAUGUUCAUGCUGCAGGUAACUAGCCAGAGCCCAUCCUUUUAUUCAGCCCAUCCCUUUAUUUCCCAUAAGGAAUACCUUUAGUAAAUCUUAUUAUGACUGGCUUGCUGUCAAUAAAUAUGUGGGUAAAUCUCUGUUCGGGGCUCUCAGCUCCGAAGGCUGUGAGAGUCCCUGAUUUCCCACUCGACACUCUAUAUUUCUGUGUGUGUGUCUUUAAUUCCUGUAGCAUUGCUGGGUUAGGGCCUCCCCAAUUGAGCUGGUCUUGGCAGGUUUGAUAAUACAACCUUUACCACAACCUCAAGGAAGUUCCAAGUCUCUCUCUUUAGGUACCAUCACCAGACCUCACACCUGAGACAAGAGCAACAAUAUUCUAAAGUUAGGAGGCAGCAACUUUACAGUUGGUGUUCAACAACCAGAAUUUAGUAAAUUAGUACCUGGACAUUGUUUCAGAAACAAGCUUCAAAUGCCAUUGUAAAAGAUCUGGAUGUCUGAGCUAGCUGGAUUCUAUUCACCUGAAGAUGGAAGGGAUCUUCACAAUAUUUUUAGUCCAUCCACAUAUUGCUAUAGUUUGGAUUUUUGUCCCCCAAACCUUAUGAUAAAAUUUGAUCCCCAAUGUCAGAGGUGGGGCCUAAUGGAAGUGUUUGGAUGAUGGGGGCAGACCUGUCAUUAAUGGCUUGGUGCCAUCUUCAUGAUAAUGAGUGAUUUAUUACUCUAUUAGUUCCAGUAGGGAGCUGGUUGUUUAUUUUAAAAAAAGGGAUGGAAAUGCCCCUCUCACUUGCUUCCUCUCUUACCUUGUGAUCUCUGCACAUGCCAGCUUGCCUUCACCUUCUGCCAUGGGUAGAAGUAGCCUGAGGCUUCACAAGAAGCAAAUACUGGCACUAUCCUUCUUGUACAGCCUGCAGAACUGUGAGCCAAAUAAACCUCUUUUCUUUAUAAAUUACCCAUUCUCAGGUACUCCUUUAUAACAACACUAACGUGGACUAAGACAUACACCUUGAACACCAGUAAUUUCAACAAUGAGCACUUAUUUGCAUAUCCAUCAUGAUAAUUGACAAAACCUCCACUAUUGAUAUAUAAAGGUAGGUGAAAUGCUUGUAGUUACAGUCUCUGAAGUGUGACUUUUAAUAUACUAACUCACCAUCCAUAGAGUAAUUUUUGAGAUUGGGCAGCCAUGCAUCCUAGUAAUGUGCAUUAAAGCCAUCAUACACACACAUAUAUAUCAAAUGCAUGUGCUAUACUAUUUGAAAGUAAGUUAUAGACUAUAAUUUAUUAACUGAGGUCCUGUGUGGGUAACCUGCUUUUCAGUUUCCCAGAGCACUCAGAAGCCCUUCAAGUUAGAGGGUGGAGCACUGGAUAUCUAGAAGGAUAAUGGUGAUGAUAUUUAGGUGAAAUCUUCCCAGGUCCUCAAACUUCACAGUUGAACAUGUUGGGAACUGAAUGCAAUCAGAAGAAAAUCUCCUCCAAAACCAGGAAAGAAGUAUAUUAUCUUCCAUUCUUUCUGGUCAGGGAACAGACCCUACAUUUGGGACAGAGCUCGAUUUGUUGGAAUAUUUUUUCACUAUAGCUCCCCUAUGGACUACGCUGAGUCAUGCUUUCUGCAACAAAUGUCUCCAUUGUUGGCACAAUGGUCCAAGAAAAAGCUGUUAAUGUGGCCAUACCUUGUGGUUUUGUUUUAUGAGACACGUAAUCGUGUUAAUUUGUUUUAUGAGACAGGUAAUUGUGUUAAUAUACAGAUAUUGUGUUAGAAAAUUAAACCAUUCAUAUACAAGUAUUGUAAGAAAUUAAACUAUUUAUGUUAUAUAUUUUCACUAAUUGAUGUUAAAUGUGGUUUCUUAAAAUGUUAAUAUGAAAUUAAUAACUUAAAUAUAGAACAUUCAAAAUUUUAUAAGGCAACAAUAUAGAAGUGAUUAAGUAAAAAGAUUAUAUGUCUUACAUAUGCAUCUGUUGGGGCUCAGAAAAUGAUAUCCCCCAAAUUAAAGUAUCAGAAGCAGUCUCAGAAUCAAAGUUUCUCUCUGACCUUCUGCCUUCCUAUCUCUCAGCCUCAUUCUCUUCCAAGACAAAUCAUAGAAACCAGAAUCUCUUUUCCCCAAAGUCAGCUAUGAAGUUUAAAAUUGUUACUCUAACUCUCCCCACCCACUUCCUUCCAUGUAGGAAAUGGCCAUAAAGAAGGUGUUUCAUCUACCUUGUUUGAUUAUGAGUCAUAACACCCCUAUUCCAGAAUUCUGCCCUAUGACAGAAGGAAAUGAAUUUCCUCCAAUCAGUCUAUUACUAUUAGAUCAUACAUUUUAUUGGCCAAUCACAUUUCUACUCAGCUGUCCCUGCUUCACAGAAGCUAAAUAUAAAAUAAGAUAGUUUUCCCUGUGUAUUAGUCAGGAUUCUCCAGAGGAACAGAACUAAUAGGAUAUAUGUACAUGGGAAAGGGAGUUUAUUAAUGAGAAUUGACUCACACCAUCACAAGGUGAAGUCUCAUGAUAGGUCAUCUGCAAGCUGAGGAGAAAGAAAGCCAGUAGUGGCUUAGUCCAAGUCCCAAAGCCUAAACAGUAGGGAAGUCGACAUGACAAUGCAACCUUCAGUCUGUGGCCGAAGGCCUGAGAGCCCCUGGCAAACCACUGGUGUAAGUCCAAAGGCCAAAGAACCUGGAGACUGAUGUUCAAGGGUAGGAAGCAUCCAGCACAGGAGAAAAAUGAAAGCUGGAAGACUCAGCAAGCCAGCUUAUUCCACUCUCUUCCACCUGCUUUUUCUAGCCACACUGGCGGCCAGUUGGAUGGUGCCCACCUACAUAAAGGGUGGGUCUUCCUCUCCUAGUCCACUAAUUCAAAUGUUAAUCUCCUCUGGCAACACCCUCACAGACAAACCCAGAAACAAUACUUUGCGUCCUUCAAUCCAAUCAAGCUGACACUUAAUAUUAACCAUUAUACCCUAUAUCAUUUGGUCAUUUAACCUGGAGCCUCCUGUGUCAUGUAAAACUUAGAUUAAAUAAAUCUGUUAUGCUUUUCUCUUGUUAACUUGUCCUUUGUAAUAGGGGUGUUGGCUAUUACUUUUAACAUCCUCAGGAAAUGCAUCACACCUUUCUGUUCCUACAUAUCUAUGCUUGUUAUUUUAUCGUUUCUGUAUUUCUGUGUGCUAGAUUGCUUCCCAUUUCCCUUUUUCCACCAUCGUGAAUAAUGCUGCAAUUAAUAUUUUCAUAUAAGUUUGCUAUGUUUUAUUUUUCCUUAAGAUAUACUAUAAGAGAUUAUGAGUAUUUUUAUGAUACUUACGGUCUCUGGCCAAAUUAUUUCUCAAAAGUGUUGUAUCCAUUUUGAUUCCCACCAACAACACGUAAGACAAGACAUAUAUUUCACAGAACAUUCACUAGCUUUACAUAUUAGCAUUUUUAAAUUGUAAUAGUCCACAAUUAUGCCUCACUAAUGUUAUUAUUUGUAUCUCUUUUAUUCAUAGAAGGUUGAGUUUUUUCAUAUACUUGUUUAGAAAUUAUAUUUCUGGGCUGGGAAUUAUAUGUAAUUUCCUGUAGGAGAGAACAGGUAGUACCUUAUUGUCACCCAUUGCAAGAUUACUGGCUAAGAUCCCUAUAGCAAAAAAGCAGAUUAACAAGAGAAAAGCAUAACAUUUUUAUUUAGUAUAAGUUUUACAUGACACAAGAGCCUUCACAAAUGAAGACGUAAAAACCCACAGAAAUCUAUGUAUUUUUGUAGAAAGUUGUGCAGAAGCGUGGCUGGAGGACAAAGGAGUGUGAUCUAAUGGUAAUAAACAGGGGAGAACUCAGCCAGACCUGUUUGUUUAGAGUCUUACUGGCUUCCCGGUAUAGGGCAGGGCCCCUCUGGAAUAAAAGUCUUAUGUCCUACUUUCAAGGGAGGUAGUGUAGGGAAUUCUUUUACGGCCUGCUUCAGAGGAGAAAGGCAAGAGAAGAUCAGCGAGGACCUUCCUGUUUCUGCGGAGCGUUUUUGUCAAUUUCCUUCAGCUUAAAACACUCAUCAUGCCAAGGUGACAUAUUGCCAAUGGGUAUUGUGUUCUGAGCCCUGACAAUCCUUUAUAUAUUUGUCUAUGACACUGAAGUGAUUUUAUGAAUUAUAAUAUUUGCCAGAAAUAAUUUCCCACUGUAUAGGGGAAAAAUUUAUUUUACCCAUCACUAGCUUCACUGCUGAAGUCUCUGUAACAACAGACAGAUUGACAAGAAAAACGCAUGCAAAU